UAGGGAAGUGAAGAUGCCGGAAUGAGUACGCGAUAAUGGGGGGGAGGAUCCCCCACACCGAAAGCCUAAGGGUUCCGGAGCCAGGGUCAUCCGCUCCGGGUUAGUCGGUCCCUAAGCCGAGGCCGAAGGGCGUAGGCGAUGGAAAACGGGCGAAUAUUCCCGUACCGCAGGACGCGCGUUAUGACCCCGAGGGGGGACGCGGGAGCGAAGCAACCGUCGGGUGAUGGACGUCCCGAUGCAAGGUGGUAGGCGUUUCCAGGUAGGCAAAUCCGCCUGGAUAGCCGAGCGCCGAUGCCGAAGGUGCCAAUUGGUGCCGCAAAGGGUUGUGGAGCCGACCGCCGAGAAAAGCCUCGCGGGGCAGUUCGUCAUGCGACCGUACCGUAAACGGACACACGUAGGCGAGGCGAGAAGCCUAAGGUGCUCGAGUGAUCCACGGAAAAGGAACUCGGCAAAAUGUCCCCGUAACUUCGGGAGAAGGGGAGCCUGUGGUAGGUGAUCCACGACGCGUGGUGAGCCCAAGCAGGCCGCAGAGAAUCGGCCCAAGCGACUGUUUAUUAAAAACACAGGUGCCUGCGAAGUCGUAGAAGACGACGUAUAGGCACUGACUCCUGCCCGGUGCCGGAAGGUUAAAGAGAGAGGUCAGCCGCAAGGCGAAGCUUUGAACUGAAGCCCCGGUAAACGGCGGCCGUAACCAUAGCGGUCCUAAGGUAGCGAAAUUCCUUGUCGGGUAAGUUCCGACCUGCACGAAUGGAGUAACGACUUGGGCGCUGUCUCUUCCGUGAGCUCGGCGAAAUUGGAGUCUCGGUGAGGAUACCGAGUACCCGCAAUAGGACAAAAAGACCCCGUGCACCUUUACUAUACCCUGCCAUUGGAUUUUGGCACUGCAUGUGUAGGAUAGGUGGGAGACUAUGAGCUACGGUCGCCAGGCCGUAGGGAGUCAACGGUGAAAUACCACCCUUACAAUGUUGAAGUUCUAACCCAGAGGAGUUUAAUCCUCCUCGGAGACCGUGGCAGGCGGGUAGUUUGACUGGGGCGGUCGCCUCCCAAAGAGUAACGGAGGCGCGCAAAGGUUCCCUCAGCGCGGUCGGUAAUCGCGCGUAGAGUGUAAAGGCAGAAGGGAGCUUGACUGCGAGACCGACGGGUCGAGCAGGUGCGAAAGCAGGCCUUAGUGAUCCGGUGGUUCCGUAUGGAAGGGCCAUCGCUCAACGGAUAAAAGGUACGCCGGGGAUAACAGGCUUAUCGCCCCCGAGAGUUCACAUCGACGGGGCGGUUUGGCACCUCGAUGUCGGCUUAUCACAUCCUGGGGCUGGAGAAGGUCCCAAGGGUCGGGCUGUUCGCCCGUUAAAGUGGUACAUGAGCUGGGUUUAGAACGUCGUGAGACAGUUCGGCCUGUAUCCAUUGCGGGCGUCGGAGUGUUGAGGAGAGCCAUCCCUAGUACGAGAGGACCGGGAUGGACUGACCACUCGUGUACCGGCUGUCCCGCCAGGGGCAUCGCCGGGUAGCGACGUCGGGACGAGAUAACCGCUGAAAGCAUCUAAGUGGGAAACUCACUCCAAGAUGAGCACUCCCGCUGCGUAAGCAGCCUGAAGGGCCGUGGAAGACUACCACGUCGAUAGGCGACAGGUGUAAGCGGCGCAAGCUGCGAGCCGAGCCGUACUAAUUGCCCGUGUGGCUUGACUG
This 1680-nucleotide ribosomal RNA is filed under the name metagenome. RNAcentral describes it as "bacterial LSU rRNA". It matches the Rfam family "Bacterial large subunit ribosomal RNA", at positions 1281 to 2925 of the family's 2925-position model. The record is from RNAcentral.